This is a transfer RNA of Felis catus (domestic cat), 73 nucleotides long. It matches the Rfam family "tRNA". From Rfam's summary of the family: Transfer RNA (tRNA) molecules are approximately 80 nucleotides in length. Their secondary structure includes four short double-helical elements and three loops (D, anti-codon, and T loops). Further hydrogen bonds mediate the characteristic L-shaped molecular structure. tRNAs have two regions of fundamental functional importance: the anti-codon, which is responsible for specific mRNA codon recognition, and the 3' end, to which the tRNAs corresponding amino acid is attached (by aminoacyl-tRNA synthetases). tRNAs cope with the degeneracy of the genetic code in two manners: having more than one tRNA (with a specific anti-codon) for a particular amino acid; and 'wobble' base-pairing, i.e. permitting non-standard base-pairing at the 3rd anti-codon position. NCBI's taxonomy places the organism in Eukaryota, Metazoa, Chordata, Mammalia, Carnivora, Felidae. The record is from Rfam.
ACCUGGCUGGCUCAGUCAGUAGAGCAUGCGACUCCUGAUCUCAGGGUUGUGGGUUCAAGCCCCACAUUGGGUG